CUCCCUUCCUCUUCUUGGGACCGAAUUUUGCCCCAUCUCUUUUGCUUCUCUCGGCUGAGUAACGAUGGCCCUAUUGCCGAUUUCUCCGGUCACCCUCUUCCUCUCUGGUGGUGUUUUAUCUCUUUCUCCGGUUAUAACUGCCGGUUACUUUCUAGUAACGGCCUCUCCCGCUCAUGAGCUCGUAGCUCUCAUUCUUGAGAUCGUAUGGGUCCCUUGUCGUGGGCUUCUCCUCCCCUCGCUCAACUAUAAAUACCCCCAAGGGGGAGAGAAAGAGGAGGACGCUUUUUUUCUUUUCUUGAGAUUUCGGAUGGAUUUCUGCUGGAAGCUUUCAUCUCGUGACUUCUUCUUACUCUUUUCAUUUCUUGAGCUAGUGAGAAAUCGAGGGCUUAUAUUACUAUUUUUAUCAACUAGGGACAUGGCAAAAGCUACCUCACUUGCACGUCAAACAAAAGGAGUUGGAGAUGGAUCUAUUAGGAUGCUCAAAUCACUUGUAGUUGCUGCAUUUGCAUUUCAAUUUAACAACAUAUUCAUGAUUGAUGCCAGCUUCUCUGCUUUGAUGCAGAUCAGUAAAUGUGCAAUUGACAAAUCCUAUAUGGGUAAUUAUCACACGCAUGCAGUUACAUCGCAAAUUUCUUGAGAGCAGUUUGCUUUGCACUUCUGGAUGGUCUUUUGUACUUCUUGUAUCUAUUAUUUUCCAGUCUCACAAGAAAAUCAGCAAAUCCUCAGUAAAUCUUGUUAUAGAAAUUGUUCCUGAUGAAGUGAUUCAAGAUGCUGUUGUUGCGCCCCCGCCUUAUGGAACUAAGGCUGUUGGACAGGGUAGAAGCUAACUCACUCGCUCGUCAAAUGAAAGGUGUUGGAGAUGGAUCUAUUGAGAUGCUCCAAUCACUUGCAGUUGCUGCAUUUGCAGAGUGAUUGAUGCUGACUUGAACUUUUUUAUUUAACUAAUUCUUCCAUUGGGCUUCUUACUUUUUAUAUUUCCAGGCAUUUCAAUUUUACAACAUAUUCAUGAAUGAUGCUAGCUUCUUUGCUUUGAUGCAGAUUAAUAAAUGUGCUACUGACAAAUCCUAUAUGGGUAAUUGUCACACGCAUGCAGUUAUUGGAAAUUUGAUAUCCAGGCUUCCUUUUUUUUGUUUCCUUUUAUCAUUUUGUAUCCAUACUCAGUUACAUCACAAACUUCAUGAGAGCAGUUUGCUCUGCACUUCUGAAUGGUUUUCUGUACUUGUUGUAUCUAUUAUUUUUCAGACUCACAAGAAAACAAGCGAAUCCUCAGCAAAUCUUGUUUUAGAAAUUGUUCCUGGUGAAGUGAUUCAAGAUGUUGUUGUUGACCCUCUACAUUAUGGAACUAUGGAAGCUAAAUUGUUCCUGGUGAAGUGAUUCAUGAUGUUGUUGUUGACCCUCUGCAUUAUGGAACUAUGGAAGCUAUACAAAUUUCUUUUUUUGCAUUUCAUUAGAUUAUUUCUAGAGGAUGCUCGGCAUACAUAUUUGAGGAUGCUCGGCAUUACAUAUUUGAAGGACCACGUUUCAGCCUUUUUAUUGUUAUGAUUCAAUAUCUUAAAUUUAAUAUUUAAGACGCAGAGUUUCUUCCUUGUAGAAAUUGUUCCUGGUGAAGUGAUUCAAGAUGUGUUGUUGACCCUCUGCAUUAUGGAACUAUGGAAGCUGUACGUAUUUAUUUUUUUGCAUUUCAUUAGAUUAUUUCUAAGGGAUGCUCGACAUUACAAAUAUGAA
RNA transcript from Phalaenopsis equestris, 1725 nucleotides. It is a transcript of the gene named peroxisomal nicotinamide adenine dinucleotide carrier-like, with no coding region annotated. Lineage: Eukaryota; Viridiplantae; Streptophyta; Magnoliopsida; Asparagales; Orchidaceae. The transcript has 6 exons. The record is from RefSeq and is a predicted model, not a curated record.